Molecule: ribosomal RNA, 253 nt
Filed under: uncultured bacterium
Lineage: Bacteria
Description: partial 16S ribosomal RNA
Rfam family: Bacterial small subunit ribosomal RNA
Source: RNAcentral
GACAGAGGUGCCAAGCGUUAGGCGGAAUCACUGGGCUUAAAGCGUGUGUAGGCGGCUACGCAAGUCGGAUGUGAAAGCCCCGGGCUCAACCCGGGAAGUGCACCCGAAACUGCGUGGCUCGAGUACCGGAGAGGUUGGUGGAAUUCUCGGUGUAGAGGUGAAAUUCGUAGAUAUCGAGAGGAACACCGGUGGCGAAGGCGGCCAACUGGACGAGUACUGACGCUGAGACACGAAAGCGUGGGGAGCAAACAGG